UUGAGUUUAAGAUUUGUUUACUGCACAGCGAUGCAACAGUUAACUUUUAUAUCUGCAAUCGUCCCAAACCUUUUGGACUGGACAUCGCAAAACGGGUCCUCACACUGCAAGCGAGUUAUAGAAUUCCCCCUAUACAAGUGUAGUCAAAAACACGACACAACAGUAGCGCAGUUGAACGCCUGAUUGCACAAUUAUGUAUUGAAUAGUGUACGAUUUGGUGAAUUACCGUAUGAUAAAACGAAUAAUUUUAUGAGUUUUGUUUAUAAUGUAUCACAACCCCGACUACUUUAGUCUGACCCCACAAGGGACAUAAUUCAAAUUUCAUUUAGCAGAGUAUUAAAUCAACAUGAACACGGAUUUUUACUAUGUUAUUAUCACGAAGCCGAUAACUGGUACAGUAAAUCGUAAAAACUCGGCAAAUUCGGGGCGUGCUUAAAAGCACAAAACACGAUGUUUUGGGUUCUAAAUAAUGAUAUAAACCAACAUAUUGAUCAAUAAGGAGUUCACUUUUUAAAGUAUGUCAAGUUUUAUCCAAAAAUAUCAUUAAAUAAGGAAUUACAAAAAGAAAACGUUAAAUUUUAGCCGAUAACUGGUACAGUGCCAGUAUAUGUUCUGAGUUUACCAAUUUGUUUACCAGGUAUUUGCUUUGUCUGCAAAAGCAUUUCUCAAAGUGUUUUUAUAUAUUUCACUAAAUUUGCUUGAUGCUAUUGAAUCAAUAUUUCUAUCAUGUAUAAGGUGUUGUAAAUGUAGUUUAUCUAGGAUAAAAUGAAUACUGCUACUUCA
Molecule: long non-coding RNA, 783 nt
Organism: Magallana angulata
Lineage: Eukaryota; Metazoa; Mollusca; Bivalvia; Ostreida; Ostreidae
Exons: 2
Source: RefSeq, a predicted model, not a curated record